AUUCCAAUUUGUUGACCCACGGUUUCUCUAGAUAUACUUCCUAGUUCGUACAUCGUUUUUCUCACCGCUAAAACCCUCAACGCGCUGCUUGCCUCUACUCUCCCCGUCUUCCUCCUUGCCUCAUAUGCUAAAAUCUCUUCGAUUCUACCAACUGCCGCAACCGUUCAGACUUUCCAAAGGUAAAUUCUUUUCUCUUCCUCACAAAAUUUGAUAUUGAUUUUGAAAAUAGUGAAAACCCCAUAAAACAAACUGACUUUCUCAACCGAAGAUUAUGAUAUAUGUUUCUAAGCGAUUUGCCUUUGGAAAGUAAAAAACAGACUGAGCAAUUAUAAGAUUUGACCAAGUAAAUGGUUUCGCAUUUGAUUAUUUAGGAUAAUUACAUGCGUGAGGAUUAUUAAAUGAUAUAUUUUAAGGUAGAAGCCUUUAGAUUAGAACUCAUUUUAUGGUUUUGCAUUAGAAGACAAUCUGUACUCAACUUCUUGGGCAAGUUUGGAGGAAAUCUGCUCUUAGUUGAUGCUCUGUCUCCGUCAUUUUUGCCUGCUUUAAUAUGCUUUCUUCUGAUCUCUAACUUUUUAAAUUUUUUAUUUUUGUUUUAUUAAUUUGAUUCGGAAUAUUUUCAGAGAAUAGCUUCAAUUGAGUUAGGUUUUGCUCAAUUUAAUCUCAUUAGUUUCAUUCCAAUUCAAUGAUUUUGUGCAGCGCUGAGUUUUCGGUUGGAGAAUAAAUUUUCUUCAUAGUUCAUUCAAUUUUGUUUUAUUUUCUAAUUUGGAUUUGAAAUUGAGACUCCUAGCUUUGCCCUCAUCAAGAAAAUUUUAUUGAUUCCAAUUGAUAAAUGUUACCUGGAUGGGAAAGGGAUCGCCAAUUUGAAAUCAGCUCUUCAGGUGCAGAAUGAACGGCUAAUCAAUGUGGGAAACUUUUGGAAAUGUAUAAAACUGUAACUUAGAAAUCUCCCUUUUGGAUUGCACAUAUGCUCUUGAUGCAAGCAAAGUAAAUAAAAUGUAAUGUAACUUAAAGACUUAUUUUACUAUGUUGGUUUAGCUGUUCUGUUAAUUUUUGAAAUAUUUAGAAAUGAAUGGGUUGAUUUGUGAUUUUAUGGAA
Non-coding RNA from Malus domestica (apple), 1095 nucleotides. Lineage: Eukaryota; Viridiplantae; Streptophyta; Magnoliopsida; Rosales; Rosaceae. The record is from RefSeq and is a predicted model, not a curated record.